Molecule: ribosomal RNA, 253 nt
Filed under: uncultured bacterium
Lineage: Bacteria
Description: partial 16S ribosomal RNA
Rfam family: Bacterial small subunit ribosomal RNA
Source: RNAcentral
UACGGGGGGGGCAAGCGUUGUUCGGAAUUACUGGGCGUAAAGGGCCAGUAGGCGGCCAACUAAGUCCGACGUGAAAUCCCCAGGCUUAACCUGGGAACUGCGUCGGAUACUGGAUGGCUUGAAUUCGGGAGAGGGAUGCAGAAUUCCAGGUGUAGCGGUGAAAUGCGUAGAUAUCUGGAGGAAUACCGGUGGCGAAGGCGGCAUCCUGGACCGACACUGACGCUGAGGCGCGAAAGCUAGGGGAGCAAACGGG